AUAUCAAUAAGCGGAGGAAAAGAAACCAACAGGGAUUGCCUUAGUAACGGCGAGUGAAGCGGCAAAAGCUCAAAUUUGAAAUCUGGCAGUAAUGUCCGAGUUGUAAUUUGAAGAAGGUAACUUUGGUGAUAGCUCUUGCAUAUGUUCCUUGGAACAGGACGUCAUAGAGGGUGAGAAUCCCGUAUAUGGUGAGAUGACAUAUUACUAUGUAAAGUGCCUUCGAAGAGUCGAGUUGUUUGGGAAUGCAGCUCUAAGUGGGUGGUAAAUUCCAUCUAAAGCUAAAUAUUGGCGAGAGACCGAUAGCGAACAAGUACAGUGAUGGAAAGAUGAAAAGAACUUUGAAAAGAGAGUGAAAAAGUACGUGAAAUUGUUGAAAGGGAAGGGCUUGAAAUCAGUCGCGUCUACUUGGACUCAGCCUUACCUCGGUUUGGUGCAUUUCCUUGUGGACGGGCCAGUGUCCAUGUUGAUUGCUGGAAAAGGUUCAGGGGAAUGUGGCUCUUUUAGAGUGUUAUAGCCUCUGUUCAUAUACAGUAGUUGAUAUGGAGUGAUACAGCAUGCUUCGGCGGUGCUUGUACUGGCAUAAUGGCUUUAAACGA
Molecule: ribosomal RNA, 596 nt
Filed under: uncultured fungus
Lineage: Eukaryota; Fungi
Description: eukaryotic LSU rRNA
Rfam family: Eukaryotic large subunit ribosomal RNA
Source: RNAcentral